UGGGGUUGGCUCAGUGGUAGAGCACUCACCUAGCACAUGCGAGGCCCUGGGUUCAAUCCUUAGCACCACAU
This 71-nucleotide transfer RNA is filed under the name Marmota monax (woodchuck). Its description in RNAcentral is "tRNA.Ala". Lineage: Eukaryota; Metazoa; Chordata; Mammalia; Rodentia; Sciuridae. The record is from RNAcentral.